Molecule: ribosomal RNA, 900 nt
Filed under: uncultured bacterium
Lineage: Bacteria
Description: bacterial SSU rRNA
Rfam family: Bacterial small subunit ribosomal RNA
Source: RNAcentral
AGAGUUUGAUCCUGGCUCAGGACGAACGCUGGCGGCGUGCUUAACACAUGCAAGUCGAACGGACUUGAUCCUGCUUUCGGGUGGGUGAAGAGUUAGUGGCGAACGGGUGAGUAACACGUGAGUAACCUGCCCUGGACUCUGGGAUAACAGCGGGAAACUGUUGCUAAUACCGGAUGUCUCCACCGUGUCGCAUGGGGUGGUGGGGAAAACUUUUGUGGUUCAGGUGGGGCUCGCGGCCUAUCAGCUUGUUGGUGGGUGAUGGCCUACCAAGGCGUCGACGGGUAGCUGGUCUGAGAGGACGAUCAGCCACACUGGGACUGAGACACGGCCCAGACUCCUACGGGAGGCAGCAGUGGGGAAUCUUGCGCAAUGGGCGGAAGCCUGACGCAGCAACGCCGCGUGGGGGAUGACGGCUUUCGGGUUGUAAACCCCUUUCAGCAGGGACGAAAUCGGACGGUACCUGCAGAAGAAGCCCCGGCCAACUACGUGCCAGCAGCCGCGGUAAUACGUAGGGGGCGAGCGUUGUCCGGAUUCAUUGGGCGUAAAGAGCUCGUAGGCGGCUGAUCAAGUCGGGUGUGAAACCCUCAGGCUCAACCUGGGGCGGCCAUCUGAUACUGGUCUGGCUGGAGUCCGGUAGGGGACCACGGAAUUCCUGGUGUAGCGGUGAAAUGCGCAGAUAUCAGGGGGAACACCGAUGGCGAAGGCAGUGGUCUGGGCCGGUACUGGCGCUGAGGAGCGAAAGCGUGGGGAGCGAACAGGAUUAGAUACCCUGGUAGUCCACGCUGUAAACGUUGGGCACUAGGUGUGGGGCCUUCCAACGGGUUCCGUGCCGUAGCUAACGCAUUAAGUGCCCCGCCUGGGGAGUACGGCCGCAAGGUUAAAACUCAAAUGAAUUGACGG